CCUACAGGCCAGUGUAAUAACUGAAAUAAAUUUCGUAGUUUCCGCCCACAAGAAUUGCACACACGAUCAGAUAAGUGAGACAAUUUAUUUAUAAUAAUGCCAAUGGCGAUAGAAGCACAAAGUAAUGCUAAUGUAGUCGCAAUACUUCCCUCACGAUUUGAAGUUUGAGACAGAUUUUCUGUUGAAAUUCAUCCUUCAAGCCAUUUACACAUUGUUCUAUUCUGAAUACGCAGAGAAAACCCCGCAACAUUUUAAUGCAAUUUGUUUACUAUUUGGGUUGCUGUCAUUGGUUCUUUUUUGACAAUUGACGCGCGAAUGGUGCGUGUUAUGAAAAGGGGCGUUUUACAAAAUACCCGGUCUUCCUUGCACGCCCACUAUUGUUCCCUCAGUGGGCCUGCACGCGGGCUAGUUGCAUGAUAGAACGAGUGGUGUUUCCUAGCUAGCAGAUAACUACGCUGUAUUUGAACAUGGAACAAUCGCAUAAAAACUUUCUUAUUCACUACUUUCCUUCAAGUGGAAACACCAUGGUAAAAUUGGUAAAAUGACAUGGUAAAAUGACAUAUAUCUCCCCCAAAUUUCAACUAUUUACAAAUUAUACUUUAACACUAAUUCUACGUCCAAAUUACACAGCCAAACGUAUCCUAGGCGGGAGACUUAGGCAUG
Paramuricea clavata is the source of this 663-nucleotide non-coding RNA. Lineage: Eukaryota; Metazoa; Cnidaria; Anthozoa; Malacalcyonacea; Plexauridae. The record is from the annotation of a GenBank genome assembly.